This 77-nucleotide transfer RNA is filed under the name Parcubacteria group bacterium ADurb.Bin159. RNAcentral describes it as "tRNA-Val". It matches the Rfam family "tRNA". From Rfam's summary of the family: Transfer RNA (tRNA) molecules are approximately 80 nucleotides in length. Their secondary structure includes four short double-helical elements and three loops (D, anti-codon, and T loops). Further hydrogen bonds mediate the characteristic L-shaped molecular structure. tRNAs have two regions of fundamental functional importance: the anti-codon, which is responsible for specific mRNA codon recognition, and the 3' end, to which the tRNAs corresponding amino acid is attached (by aminoacyl-tRNA synthetases). tRNAs cope with the degeneracy of the genetic code in two manners: having more than one tRNA (with a specific anti-codon) for a particular amino acid; and 'wobble' base-pairing, i.e. permitting non-standard base-pairing at the 3rd anti-codon position. The record is from RNAcentral.
GGGCGGUUAGCUCAGUUGGCUAGAGCGUACGCUUGACGUGCGUAAGGUCAGAGGUUCGAGUCCUCUACCGCCCACCA